GUAGGGUGCGAGCGUUGUCCGGAAUUACUGGGCGUAAAGAGCUCGUAGGUGGUUUGUCGCGUUGUUCGUGAAAUCUCACGGCUUAACUGUGAGCGUGCGGGCGAUACGGGCAGACUUGAGUACUGCAGGGGAGACUGGAAUUCCUGGUGUAGCGGUGGAAUGCGCAGAUAUCAGGAGGAACACCGGUGGCGAAGGCGGGUCUCUGGGCAGUAACUGACGCUGAGGAGCGAAAGCGUGGGGAGCGAACAGGAUUAGAUACCCUGGUAGUCCACGCCGUAAACGGUGGGUACUAGGUGUGGGUUUCCUUCCUUGGGAUCCGUGCCGUAGCUAACGCAUUAAGUACCCCGCCUGGGGAGUACGGCCGCAAGGCUAAAACUCAAAGAAAUUGACGGGGGCCCGCACAAGCGGCGGAGCAUGUGGAUUAAUUCGAUGCAACGCGAAGAACCUUACCUGGGUUUGACAUGCACAGGACGCCGGCAGAGAUGUCGGUUCCCUUGUGGCCUGUGUGCAGGUGGUGCAUGGCUGUCG
RNAcentral lists this ribosomal RNA (528 nucleotides) under uncultured Mycobacterium sp. RNAcentral's name for it is "bacterial SSU rRNA". It matches the Rfam family "Bacterial small subunit ribosomal RNA", at positions 527 to 1054 of the family's 1533-position model. The record is from RNAcentral. Lineage: Bacteria; Bacillati; Actinomycetota; Actinomycetes; Mycobacteriales; Mycobacteriaceae.